This 253-nucleotide ribosomal RNA is filed under the name uncultured bacterium. RNAcentral's name for it is "partial 16S ribosomal RNA". It matches the Rfam family "Bacterial small subunit ribosomal RNA", at positions 524 to 776 of the family's 1533-position model. The record is from RNAcentral.
UACGUAGGGUGCAAGCGUUGUCCGGAAUUACUGGGCGUAAAGAGCUCGUAGGUGGUUUGUCGCGUUGUUCGUGAAAACUCACAGCUUAACUGUGGGCGUGCGGGCGAUACGGGCAGACUUGAGUACUGCAGGGGAGACUGGAAUUCCUGGUGUAGCGGUGGAAUGCGCAGAUAUCAGGAGGAACACCGGUGGCGAAGGCGGGUCUCUGGGCAGUAACUGACGCUGAGGAGCGAAAGCGUGGGGAGCGAACAGG